Molecule: unclassified non-coding RNA, 481 nt
Filed under: Hevea brasiliensis (rubber tree)
Lineage: Eukaryota; Viridiplantae; Streptophyta; Magnoliopsida; Malpighiales; Euphorbiaceae
Source: RNAcentral
AGAGUCAGUGAGACAAUUCAGAUAAUAGAGAGUAGAAAUCAAAACAAAAUUCUAAAAGAAGACAAUUACAAAACCGUGUAGUUACGAUCUUUACUUUCAAACUAGUAUGUCUCUCUUCUAUCUAUUUCUAAGCAUCAUCCAAAUUUGCAGUUUCGAAAAUGUAAGAUUCCUCAGUCCACAUUUUCCAACCUUCCAUUGGAACAAUGCCAAUCCAAGCAAAGCAAAAACAAGUCUUCCAGAGCAUGAGACCUCCUGACAGUUCAAAAGGGCAAUCGUCCAGUUUCCAGAAAUAUUUUGCAUACCCCUGAUUCUGGCAUCUUUACGUUGCAUUUGAUAUAACUCUGCUAGAUUUAUUGAACUCGGACUCAGGAAUCGGUUCUUCAUUGAUGCUCAUUUGGAGGCUAUCAGCAUUGUUAAAUCUCUAUAAAGAUGGCAAUUAUGCACUUUAUUAACGUGGCUUGAGUUCCAACUUGUAAGCUCG